AUUGAACGCUGGCGGCAUGCCUUACACAUGCAAGUCGAACGGUAACAGGUCUUCGGAUGCUGACGAGUGGCGAACGGGUGAGUAAUAUAUCGGAACGUGCCCAGUCGUGGGGGAUAACGCAGCGAAAGCUGUGCUAAUACCGCAUACGAUCUAUGGAUGAAAGCGGGGGAUCGCAAGACCUCGCGCGAUUGGAGCGGCCGAUAUCAGAUUAGGUAGUUGGUGGGGUAAAGGCCCACCAAGCCAACGAUCUGUAGCUGGUCUGAGAGGACGACCAGCCACACUGGAACUGAGACACGGUCCAGACUCCUACGGGAGGCAGCAGUGGGGAAUUUUGGACAAUGGGCGCAAGCCUGAUCCAGCAAUGCCGCGUGCAGGAUGAAGGCCUUCGGGUUGUAAACUGCUUUUGUACGGAACGAAAGGCUCUGGUUAAUACCUGGGGCUCAUGACGGUACCGUAAGAAUAAGCACGGCUAACUACGUGCC
Molecule: ribosomal RNA, 482 nt
Filed under: uncultured bacterium
Lineage: Bacteria
Description: bacterial SSU rRNA
Rfam family: Bacterial small subunit ribosomal RNA
Source: RNAcentral